AUUGAACGCUGGCGGCAGGCUUAACACAUGCAAGUCGAGCGGAGUGAUGGUGCUUGCACUAUCACUUAGCGGCGGACGGGUGAGUAAUGCUUAGGAAUCUGCCUAUUAGUGGGGGACAACAUCUCGAAAGGGAUGCUAAUACCGCAUACGUCCUACGGGAGAAAGCAGGGGAUCACUUGUGACCUUGCGCUAAUAGAUGAGCCUAAGUCGGAUUAGCUAGUUGGUGGGGUAAAGGCCUACCAAGGCGACGAUCUGUAGCGGGUCUGAGAGGAUGAUCCGCCACACUGGGACUAAGACACGGCCCAGACUCCUACGGGAGGCAGCAGUGGGGAAUAUUGGACAAUGGGGGGAACCCUGAUCCAGCCAUGCCGCGUGUGUGAAGAAGGCCUUAUGGUUGUAAAGCACUUUAAGCGAGGAGGAGGCUCUUUUGGUUAAUACCCAAGAUGAGUGGACGUUACUCGCAGAAUAAGCACCGGCUAACUCUGUGCCAGCCGCCGCUGUAA
This 503-nucleotide ribosomal RNA is filed under the name uncultured bacterium. RNAcentral describes it as "partial 16S ribosomal RNA". It matches the Rfam family "Bacterial small subunit ribosomal RNA", at positions 30 to 523 of the family's 1533-position model. The record is from RNAcentral.